RNAcentral lists this ribosomal RNA (497 nucleotides) under uncultured bacterium. Its description in RNAcentral is "partial 16S ribosomal RNA". It matches the Rfam family "Bacterial small subunit ribosomal RNA", at positions 28 to 523 of the family's 1533-position model. The record is from RNAcentral.
GAUGAACGCUGGCGGCGUGCUUAACACAUGCAAGUCGAACGAAGCACUUUUAUUUGAUUUCUUCGGAAUGAAGAUUUUAGUGACUGAGUGGCGGACGGGUGAGUAACGCGUGGGUAACCUGCCUCAUACAGGGGGAUAACAGUUAGAAAUGACUGCUAAUACCGCAUAAGACCACAGCACCGCAUGAUGCAGAGGUAAAAACUCCGGUGGUAUGAGAUGGACCCGCGUCUGAUUAGGUAGUUGGUGGGGUAACGGCCUACCAAGCCGACGAUCAGUAGCCGACCUGAGAGGGUGACCGGCCACAUUGGGACUGAGACACGGCCCAAACUCCUACGGGAGGCAGCAGUGGGGAAUAUUGCACAAUGGGGGAAACCCUGAUGCAGCGACGCCGCGUGAGCGAUGAAGUAUUUCGGUAUGUAAAGCUCUAUCAGCAGGGAAGAAAAUGACGGUACCUGACUAAGAAGCACCGGCUAAAUACGUGCCAGCCGCCGCAGUAA